GUUCCGUUCCGCACGACAAGUUCGUCCCCGUCCCCACGCACGGACGAAUCCAAUCUCAAUCCCCUCGCAUAGCCGCCGCCGCCGCCACCCUCCUCUCGCUCCUGCCGCAGGGAUCCGGCCGGCCACCAGUACUGCAGGCCCUCCACCGCGGCGCGCCGAGUCGGCGGAAGCCUCCGCUUCCCAGGCGCCCCCUAACCUGCCGCCGGCGACAGAGGAUCGAUCUCUCCACCGUACGCCGGAAACCAUACUGCCUCAGUCUGCGCAGUUCCCUCCUGUUUACUCGAGCGGUUUCCCCUCCGACGUCCAUCGCCCGUACUACCUCGCCGCCGGCGAGCUUCCCGCCGACUACAGGUAUGUGAAAAGUCAAGGUGACAAACAACUGUGGUAUAAGAAUGCUGCACAUUUGACAUCGGAUUGUGCACCUGAGCGAAAAUGGAACAUAUAUCAAUCUUGUAAUGGAUGUUCGGGAUGCUUUUGAGGGAAAUGAUUUGGUGAAAUAUUGAUUGCGAGGGUUUGGAACCAAGUGACAGCAAAAAAAAUGAAGCAAAGCUGAAGGAUCUUGUUCCUUGUGUUCUCCUGUCAUUUGACAAUGAGUAGAUAUUAAUCUACAGAGGCAGUGAAUGGAACUCUAGAUACUCAGCCUCCCACUAUCACUCCAAAAGUUCAAAAGAAUAAUCUGGCAGUGUCAACUGCUUUGAGUAACUCAGGAUGGGUGGUUAGAAGAGCUGGAAGGGAAGGCGCAAGAACAUGAUAAGAAGGAUGUUGCACAACAAGAGAAGAUAAAGGAGCUCUAGAUUGUUGUAGAGAAGAUUAUCAGUUUUUACUGGCGGCCGUUAGAAGCUGUAUAGAAGAUGAUGCAUUUUUAUUAGAUUCAAGUGAGAUUAUUCAGAUUUGCAUAAAAAAGUUGUAUAGAAGUUGAUGCAUUUUUAUUAGAUUCAAGUGAGAUUAUUCAGAUUUGCAUAAUCAGUGCCGAGGAUCGUGCAAAGCUAAAUUAUCUUUGUUGUUGCUGCUUAUCCUUGAGGAAGCUUGUGGUUAAGAACUGG
Molecule: ribosomal RNA, 1043 nt
Filed under: Triticum aestivum (bread wheat)
Lineage: Eukaryota; Viridiplantae; Streptophyta; Magnoliopsida; Poales; Poaceae
Description: partial small subunit ribosomal RNA
Source: RNAcentral